RNAcentral lists this long non-coding RNA (1105 nucleotides) under Mytilus galloprovincialis (Mediterranean mussel). Lineage: Eukaryota; Metazoa; Mollusca; Bivalvia; Mytilida; Mytilidae. The record is from RNAcentral.
CGCUCACCUUGGUCUAUGUGAAUAUUAAACAAUGGACACAGAUGGAUUCAUGACAAAAUUUUGUUUUGGUGAUGGUGAUGUGUUUGUAGAUCUUACUUUACCAUACAUUCUUGCUGCUUACAAUUAUCUCUAUCUAUAACAGUACUUUCUGUGGAAAAUGUUAUUGAAAAUCUUCAAAUUUUAAGAAAAUUGUUAAAAAUUGACUAUGAAGGGCAAUAACUCCUUAGGGGGUCAAUUGACUAUUUUGGUCAUAGUGACUUAUUUUUAGUUCUUACUUUGCUGUACAUUAUUGCUGUUUACAGUUUAUCUCUAUCUAUAAUAAUAUUCAAGAUAACAAAAAAAACCGCAAAAUUUCCUCAAAAUUACCAAUUCAGGGGCAGCAACCUAACAACCGAUUAUUCGAUUCAUCUUAAAAUUCCAGGGCAGAUAGAUCGUGACCUGAUCAACAAUUUUAGUUCCUGUCAGAUUUGCUCUUAAUGCUUUUGUUUUUGAGUUAUAAGCCAAAAACUGCAUUUUACCCCCAUGUUCUAUUUUUAGCCAUGGCGGCCAUCUUGGUUUGUUGGCCGAGUUACCGGACACAUUUUUUUAACUAGAUACCCCAAUUAUGGCUAAGUUUGGUUAAAUUUGGCCCAGUAGUUUCGGAGGAGAAUAUUUUUCUAAAAGAUUACUAAGAUUUACGAAAAAUGGUUAAAAAUUGAUUAUAAAGGGCAAUAACUCCUAAAGUGGUCAACUGACCAUUUUGGUCAAGUUGACUUAUUUGUAGAUCUUACUUUGCUGAACAUUAUUGCUGUUUACAGUUUAUCUCUAUUUAUAAUAAUAUUCAAGAUAAUAACCAAAAACAGCAAAAUUUCCUUAAAAUUACCAAUUCAGGGGCAGUAACCCAACAACGGAAUGUCCGAUUCAUCUGAAAAUUUCAGGGCAGAUAGAUCUUGACCUGAUAAACAAUUUUACUCAUGUCAGAUUUGCUCUAAAUGCUUUGGUUUUUGAGUUAUUAGCCAAAAACUGCAUUAUAUCCCUAUGUUCUAUUUUUAGCCAUGGUGGCCAUCUUGGUUGGUUGGCCGGGUCACGCCACACAUUUUUUAAACUAGAUACCCCAAUGAUGAUU